Molecule: ribosomal RNA, 488 nt
Filed under: uncultured bacterium
Lineage: Bacteria
Description: bacterial SSU rRNA
Rfam family: Bacterial small subunit ribosomal RNA
Source: RNAcentral
GAUGAACGCUGGCGGCGUGCCUAAUACAUGCAAGUCGAACGAGGUGCUUUUGUAGCAAUACGAAAGUAUCCUAGUGGCGAACGGGUGAGUAACGCGUUGGUGACCUACCCCAAAGUGUGGGAUAACAGUUCGAAAGAACUGCUAAUACCGCAUGUGGUUAUCGGGUUUAGAAACUGAUAACUAAAGGAGCAAUUCGCUUUGGGAGGGACCUGCGUCCCAUCAGCUAGUUGGUGAGGUAACGGCUCACCAAGGCUACGACGGGUAGGGGACCUGAGAGGGUGGCCCCCCACAAUGGAACUGAAACACGGUCCAUACACCUACGGGUGGCAGCAGUAGGGAAUAUUGCACAAUGGGCGAAAGCCUGAUGCAGCAACGCCGCGUGUGCGAUGAAGGCCUUCGGGUCGUAAAGCACUUUCUGAGAGAUGAGAAGGACAGUAUCUCAGGGAUAAGUCUCGGCUAACUACGUGCCAGCAGCCGCGGUAAUGUAG